RNAcentral lists this ribosomal RNA (245 nucleotides) under uncultured Bradyrhizobiaceae bacterium. Its description in RNAcentral is "partial 16S ribosomal RNA". It matches the Rfam family "Bacterial small subunit ribosomal RNA", at positions 524 to 768 of the family's 1533-position model. Lineage: Bacteria; Pseudomonadati; Pseudomonadota; Alphaproteobacteria; Hyphomicrobiales; Nitrobacteraceae. The record is from RNAcentral.
UACGAAGGGGGCUAGCGUUGCUCGGAAUCACUGGGCGUAAAGCGCACGUAGGCGGCUUUCUAAGUCAGAGGUGAAAUCCUGGAGCUCAACUCCAGAACUGCCUUUGAUACUGGAGAGCUUGAGUUCGGGAGAGGUGAGUGGAACUGCGAGUGUAGAGGUGAAAUUCGUAGAUAUUCGCAAGAACACCAGUGGCGAAGGCGGCUCACUGGCCCGAUACUGACGCUGAGGUGCGAAAGCGUGGGGAG